GAGGGUAUAGCUCAGUGGUAGAGCACGUGCUUAGCAUACAUAAGGUCCUGGGUUCAAUCCCCAAUACCUCCU
Molecule: transfer RNA, 72 nt
Filed under: Camelus bactrianus (Bactrian camel)
Lineage: Eukaryota; Metazoa; Chordata; Mammalia; Artiodactyla; Camelidae
Also listed under: 2 other names
Rfam family: tRNA
About the family: Transfer RNA (tRNA) molecules are approximately 80 nucleotides in length.
Source: Rfam by way of RNAcentral